CGACCCCAGGAUGGGCGGGGUGACCCGCUGAGUUU
This 35-nucleotide ribosomal RNA is filed under the name Platanthera chlorantha. RNAcentral describes it as "partial 26S ribosomal RNA". Lineage: Eukaryota; Viridiplantae; Streptophyta; Magnoliopsida; Asparagales; Orchidaceae. RNAcentral also lists the same sequence under 44 other names. The record is from RNAcentral.